CCUACGGGAGGCAGCAGUGGGGAAUAUUGGACAAUGGGGGCAACCCUGAUCCAGCCAUGCCGCGUGUGUGAAGAAGGCCCUCGGGUUGUAAAGCACUUUCAGUGAGGAAGAACGCCUGGUGGUUAAUACCCAUCAGGAAAGACAUCACUCACAGAAGAAGCACCGGCUAACUCCGUGCCAGCAGCCGCGGUAAUACGGAGGGUGCGAGCGUUAAUCGGAAUUACUGGGCGUAAAGCGCGCGUAGGUGGCUUGAUAAGCCGGUUGUGAAAGCCCCGGGCUCAACCUGGGAACGGCAUCCGGAACUGUCAAGCUAGAGUGCAGGAGAGGAAAGUAGAAUUCCCGGUGUAGCGGUGAAAUGCGUAGAGAUCGGGAGGAAUACCAGUGGCGAAGGCGGCCUUCUGGACUGACACUGACACUGAGGUGCGAAAGCGUGGGUAGCAAACAGGAUUAGAUACCCGGGUAGUC
This 465-nucleotide ribosomal RNA is filed under the name Vreelandella stevensii. RNAcentral describes it as "partial 16S ribosomal RNA". It matches the Rfam family "Bacterial small subunit ribosomal RNA", at positions 338 to 795 of the family's 1533-position model. Lineage: Bacteria; Pseudomonadati; Pseudomonadota; Gammaproteobacteria; Oceanospirillales; Halomonadaceae. The record is from RNAcentral.